CUACGGAGGGUGCAAGCGUUGUUCGGAAUCACUGGGCGUAAAGGGCGCGCAGGCGGUUUUACAAGUCAGAUGUGAAAGCCCACGGCUCAACCGUGGAAGUGCAUUUGAAACUGUAAGACUUGAGUAUCAGAGGGGAAGGUGGAAUUACCGGUGUAGAGGUGAAAUUCGUAGAUAUCGGGAGGAAUACCGGUGGCGAAGGCGACUUUCUGGCUGAAUACUGACGCUGAGGCGCGAAAGCGUGGGGAGCAAACAGGAUUAGAAACCCUAGUAGUCC
Molecule: ribosomal RNA, 274 nt
Filed under: uncultured bacterium
Lineage: Bacteria
Description: partial 16S ribosomal RNA
Rfam family: Bacterial small subunit ribosomal RNA
Source: RNAcentral